ACCAGAAUGAGACUAGACUUGGAG
RNAcentral lists this non-coding RNA (24 nucleotides) under Drosophila melanogaster (fruit fly). The record is from RNAcentral. Lineage: Eukaryota; Metazoa; Arthropoda; Insecta; Diptera; Drosophilidae.